This 380-nucleotide long non-coding RNA is filed under the name Chinchilla lanigera (long-tailed chinchilla). RNAcentral describes it as "lncRNA (ENSCLAG00000028012.1)". The record is from RNAcentral. Lineage: Eukaryota; Metazoa; Chordata; Mammalia; Rodentia; Chinchillidae.
AAGAGGAUCACAGGGAGGUGAGCAGCACUUGUCAGAUGCCCAGAAGACUCUCACCAAGGCCCACCAAAGCCUGCCAGAUGAAAUCCAACAACAGGGCCGUCCGGGAUAAGAAGCAGGGCUGCUUCUCCACCCCUGCACUGCUUAGAGCCUGCGUCCAAGGAACAAACUGUCAUGGGAAGUUCCCACCCCUGCCCCGCCAAGAAGGCAAGUGCAGCAGUGGCUGCCAGCCCAGCAGCCAGUGCCCAGUGCCCAUCUGUCUCAACUCUUCUCCGGCUGGCAGGUGGCCUCCUCAGACCAAGGCACUAAGGACAGUGCAAGCCAGAGCAGCACUCAGAGAACAAAGGCACAGUACAGGAGGAGUCUACAACCUAGCAAUCUAA